RNAcentral lists this ribosomal RNA (375 nucleotides) under uncultured Helicobacter sp. RNAcentral's name for it is "bacterial SSU rRNA". It matches the Rfam family "Bacterial small subunit ribosomal RNA", at positions 275 to 667 of the family's 1533-position model. Lineage: Bacteria; Pseudomonadati; Campylobacterota; Epsilonproteobacteria; Campylobacterales; Helicobacteraceae. The record is from RNAcentral.
UAUGACGGGUAUCCGGCCUGAGAGGGUGAACGGACACACUGGAACUGAGACACGGUCCAGACUCCUACGGGAGGCAGCAGUAGGGAAUAUUGCUCAAUGGGCGCAAGCCUGAAGCAGCAACGCCGCGUGGAGGAUGAAGGUUUUAGGAUCGUAAACUCCUUUUGUUAGAGAAGAUAAUGACGGUAUCUAACGAAUAAGCACCGGCUAACUCCGUGCCAGCAGCCGCGGUAAUACGGAGGGCGCAAGCGUUACUCGGAAUCACUGGCCGUAAAGAACGCGUAGGCGGGAUAGUAAGUCAGGUGUGAAAUCCUAUGGCUUAACCAUAGAACUGCAUUUGAAACUACUAUUCUAGAGUGUGGGAGAGGUAGGUGGAAU